GAUGAACGCUGGCGGCGUGCCUAAUACAUGCAAGUCGAGCGAAUGGAUUAAGAGCUUGCUCUUAUGAAGUUAGCGGCGGACGGGUGAGUAACACGUGGGUAACCUGCCCAUAAGACUGGGAUAACUCCGGGAAACCGGGGCUAAUACCGGAUAAUAUUUUGAACUGCAUGGUUCAAAAUUGAAAGGCGGCUUCGGCUGUCACUUAUGGAUGGACCCGCGUCGCAUUAGCUAGUUGGUGAGGUAACGGCUCACCAAGGCAACGAUGCGUAGCCGACCUGAGAGGGUGAUCGGCCAAACUGGGACUGGGACACGGCCCAGACUCCUACGGGAGGCAGCAGUAGGGAACCUUCCGCAAUGGACGAAAGUCUGACGGAGCAACGCCGCGUGAGUGAUGAAGGCUUUCGGGUCGUAAAACUCUGUUGUUAGGGAAGAACAAGUGCUAGUUGAAUAAGCUGGCACCUUGACGGUACCUAACCAGAAAGCCACGGCUAACUACGUGCCAGCCGCCGCUGUAA
Molecule: ribosomal RNA, 515 nt
Filed under: uncultured bacterium
Lineage: Bacteria
Description: partial 16S ribosomal RNA
Rfam family: Bacterial small subunit ribosomal RNA
Source: RNAcentral